AGCAGCCGCGGUAAUUCCAGCUCCAAUAGCGUAUAUUAAAGUUGUUGCAGUUAAAAAGCUCGUAGUUGAAUUUCGGGAUCGACGGGUCGGUCGCGCCUCUGGUGUGUACUGGCCCUGUCGGUUUCUCCCUUCUGACGAACCACGAUGUCAUUAAUUUGGUGUCGUGGGAAAUCAGGACUGUUACUUUGAAAAAUUAGAGUGUUUAAAGCAGGCAUUCGCUUGAAUACAUUAGCAUGGAAUAAUGAAAUAGGACGUUUGAUCUUAUUUUGUUGGUUUCUAAGAUCGACGUAAUGAUUAAUAGGGAUAGUUGGGGGCAUUAGUAUUCAAUUGUCAGAGGUGAAAUUCUUGGAUUUAUUGAAGACUAACUACUGCGAAAGCAUUUGCCAAGGAUGUUUUCAUUAAUCAAGAACGAAAGUUAGGGGAUCGAAGACGAUCAGAUACCGUCGUAGUCUUAACCAUAAACUAUGCCGACUAGGGAUCGGAUGAUGUUAAUUUUUUAAU
Molecule: ribosomal RNA, 501 nt
Filed under: uncultured Glomus
Lineage: Eukaryota; Fungi; Glomeromycota; Glomeromycetes; Glomerales; Glomeraceae
Description: SSU rRNA
Rfam family: Eukaryotic small subunit ribosomal RNA
Source: RNAcentral